GACGAACGCUGGCGGCGUGCUUAACACAUGCAAGUCGAACGGAAAGGCCCUGCUUUUGUGGGGUGCUCGAGUGGCGAACGGGUGAGUAACACGUGAGUAACCUGCCCUUGACUUUGGGAUAACUUCAGGAAACUGGGGCUAAUACCGGAUAGGAGCUCCUGCUGCAUGGUGGGGGGUGGAAAGUUUCGGCGGUUGGGGAUGGACUCGCGGCUUAUCAGCUUGUUGGUGGGGUAGUGGCUGACCAAGGCUUUGACGGGUAGCCGGCCUGAGAGGGUGACCGGCCACAUUGGGACUGAGAUACGGCCCAGACUCCUACGGGAGGCAGCAGUGGGGAAUAUUGCACAAUGGGCGGACGCCUGAUGCAGCAACGCCGCGUGCGGGAUGACGGCCUUCGGGUUGUAAACCGCUUUCGCCUGUGACGAAGCGUGAGUGACGGUAAUGGGUAAAGAAGCACCGGCUAACUACGUG
Molecule: ribosomal RNA, 468 nt
Filed under: uncultured bacterium
Lineage: Bacteria
Description: partial 16S ribosomal RNA
Rfam family: Bacterial small subunit ribosomal RNA
Source: RNAcentral